This 253-nucleotide non-coding RNA is filed under the name uncultured bacterium. Its description in RNAcentral is "partial 16S ribosomal RNA". It matches the Rfam family "Bacterial small subunit ribosomal RNA", at positions 524 to 776 of the family's 1533-position model. RNAcentral also lists the same sequence under 1 other name. The record is from RNAcentral.
UACGUAGGGACCGAGCGUUGUCCGGAUUUAUUGGGCGUAAAGCGCGCGUAGGCGGCCAAUCGCGUCGGAUGUGAAAGCUCGGAGCUCAACUCUGAGAGGUCAUUCGAUACGGGUUGGCUAGAGGCAGGUAGGGGAGAUCGGAAUUCCUGGUGUAGCGGUGAAAUGCGCAGAUAUCAGGAGGAACACCGGUGGCGAAGGCGGAUCUCUGGGCCUGUUCUGACGCUGAGGUGCGAAAGCUGGGGGAGCAAACAGG